GAUGAACGCUGGCGGCGUGCCUAAUACAUGCAAGUCGAGCGAAUGGAUUAAGAGCUUGCUCUUAUGAAGUUAGCGGCGGACGGGUGAGUAACACGUGGGUAACCUGCCCAUAAGACUGGGAUAACUCCGGGAAACCGGGGCUAAUACCGGAUAACAUUUUGAACCACAUGGUUCGAAAUUGAAAGGCGGCUUCGGCUGUCACUUAUGGAUGGACCCGCGUCGCAUUAGCUAGUUGGUGAGGUAACGGCUCACCAAGGCAACGAUGCGUAGCCGACCUGAGAGGGUGAUCGGCAACACUAGGACUGAGACACGGCCCAGACUCCUACAGGAGGCAGCAGUAGGGAAUCUUCCGCAAUGGACGAAAGUCGGACGGAGCAACGCCGCGUGAGUGAUGAAGGCUUUCGGGUCGUAAAACUCUGUUGUUAGGGAAGAACAAGUGCUAGUUGAAUAAGCUGGCACCUUGACGGUACCUAACCAGAAAGCCACGGCUAACUACGUGCCAGCAGCCGCAGUAA
RNAcentral lists this ribosomal RNA (515 nucleotides) under uncultured bacterium. Its description in RNAcentral is "partial 16S ribosomal RNA". It matches the Rfam family "Bacterial small subunit ribosomal RNA", at positions 28 to 523 of the family's 1533-position model. The record is from RNAcentral.